RNAcentral lists this ribosomal RNA (379 nucleotides) under uncultured eukaryote. Its description in RNAcentral is "partial 18S ribosomal RNA". It matches the Rfam family "Eukaryotic small subunit ribosomal RNA", at positions 592 to 975 of the family's 1831-position model. The record is from RNAcentral.
CAAUAGCGUAUAUUAAAGUUGUUGCGGUUAAAAAGCUCGUAGUUGGAUUUCUGUUGAGGACGAUCGGUCUGCCCUCUGGGUGAGUAUCUGGCUCGGCCUUGGCAUCUUCUUGGAGAACGUUGCUGCACUUCACUGUGUGGUACGGUAUCCAGGACUUUUACUUUGAGGAAAUUAGAGUGUUUCAAGCAGGCGCACGCCUUGAAUACAUUAGCAUGGAAUAAUGAGAUAGGACCUCGGUUCUAUUUUGUUGGUUUCUAGAGCUGGGGUAAUGAUUAAUAGGGAUAGUUGGGGGCAUUCGUAUUUAACUGUCGGAGGUGAAAUUCUUGGAUUUGUUAAAGACGGACUACUGCGAAAGCAUUUGCCAAGGAUGUUUUCAUUG